GACGAACGCUGGCGGCGUGCUUAACACAUGCAAGUCGAACGGAAAGGCCCCUUUGGGGGUCCUCGAGUGGCGCACGGGUGAGUAACACGUGAGUAACCUGCCCUUGACUUCGGGAUAACUUCAGGAAACUGGGGCUAAUACCGUAUAGGAAUCCUUACUCCAUGGUGGAGGUUGGAAAGCUUCGUCGGUUUUGGACGGACUCGCGGCUUAUCAGCUUGUUGGUGGGGUAGUGGCUUACCAAGCCUUAGACGGGUAGCCGGCCUGAGAGGGCGAACAGCCACAUUGGAACUGAGAAACGGACCAGACUCCUACGGGAGGCAGCGGUGGGGAAAAUUGCACAAUGGGCGGAAGCCUGUUGCAGCAACGCCGCGUGCGGGAAGACGGCCUUCGGGUUGAAAACCGCUUUCAGCAGGGGCGAAGCUUGUGGUGACGGUACCUGCAGAAGAAGCAACGGCUAACUACGUG
This 465-nucleotide ribosomal RNA is filed under the name uncultured bacterium. Its description in RNAcentral is "partial 16S ribosomal RNA". It matches the Rfam family "Bacterial small subunit ribosomal RNA", at positions 28 to 507 of the family's 1533-position model. The record is from RNAcentral.